GCAUCAAUGGUGUAAGGGUAGCACGGGUGCCUUCCAAGCACCCAAUCCGCGUUCGAGUCGCGGUUGAUGCA
RNAcentral lists this transfer RNA (71 nucleotides) under Nannizzia gypsea CBS 118893. RNAcentral describes it as "tRNA-Gly (TCC) (tRNA-Gly-TCC-1-1)". It matches the Rfam family "tRNA". From Rfam's summary of the family: Transfer RNA (tRNA) molecules are approximately 80 nucleotides in length. Their secondary structure includes four short double-helical elements and three loops (D, anti-codon, and T loops). The record is from RNAcentral. Lineage: Eukaryota; Fungi; Ascomycota; Eurotiomycetes; Onygenales; Arthrodermataceae. RNAcentral also lists the same sequence under 16 other names.